This 2762-nucleotide long non-coding RNA is filed under the name Homo sapiens (human). RNAcentral describes it as "HSALNT0017315". Lineage: Eukaryota; Metazoa; Chordata; Mammalia; Primates; Hominidae. The record is from RNAcentral.
CUUAGAAUACUGCUUGGCACAUGAUGUGGCCAGUCCACCACCAAAGCAAGGAAGGAGAUAUGAGAAGGAAGUUUCGUCUCCUACCCAGUGCAUCAUUACUGGCAACAGUGAGAAGCAGAGCUGGGAAUUUGAGAAGCAAACCAAUGCCUUCUGCUUCUCAUCAUUAUUCCUGACAACAGACAGAAAAGAGGCAAACCUUCACCUUCUGUGGUCGCUUCUGAUACUCAGCCGGGAACCUCAUUCUCAGUAGCUACAGAUUUCCCUAAUCACUCAUCUUAACUUGACACUGCGUUCUAGUGCCUUUCGUGAGAAGGGUCUUGGGAGGCCAUAAACCUAUGUUGCUGGGAAAAGAAUGUACUGCAAUAAAGAGAGCAGGAGAGGAGCUGCAGAUUUCCAGCUCUCACAGCUUGUUCACUUGUGGAGACUAGGCUGCAAUGUGCUCUUGAAAUCAUUGGGGUGGGCCUUGUUUCUGAGGAAAUAAAGAGGCCCCAGAACCUCCCAAGUGAGCGAAAAAAUGAUUUCCAGAUACUCAAAUGGAGUGGCCUUCUGGCUACAUGAGCUGGAUGUGCUUGGCAGUCUUUCCAUCUGGCUGGCCAGUAUCCUGAGGUUAGCAAAGCAGAAGGCAAAUCUUUGGGGAGCUAAAAGACAUGUGCACGUGCCAGUAUUUUUGACAAAUGCUCAGUUAAUUGUUUUCUAUGAUUCUUCUCCCGAGACACAAACUGUGUGCACCAGGCACCAAGAACUAUCCCCAUCCCACCACCCCAGAUCCCAAGGGAAACUUCAUAAUUACACACGUUUGGGCCAAACAUCUACCCCACAGGAAAUGGACACAUCAGCCCCUAGGGAUGAAAGAAUGAUGCAGGGCAUGGGAAAGCAGAGAAAUCUCCUGAGUGAGAAAGAAGACAAAUUCACAGAAGCCUGAGAGCCUAUAUACCAGUAGGAGAAACUCAGAAUUUCUUUUCAGGAUACUAAGGAAAUGGUGGUCAGAAGAGGCCCGGGACGGAUGAAAUUCACCAAAGUCUCUACCACAGACAUUCUCAGAUGGUCCUAAUAAAAAGAAGAAACCCAAACCAGAACUGGUGGUCCACAUUGUGAGAGUUGCUGAAUAUCAUCACAAAGCAAUAAUUAUCCAACAGCAUGCUUGGUGGCUCAACAUUCUGAAAGGCAAAUGUCAAGGGCACAUAGUCUCAACCAUGUUGCUGAUGGGAGCUCAUGUUUUUUGUGUUGGGUGGUCUUGUGUUCUGCCUGGUGGUCUUUCUUCUGCCUGCUAUGACAGCACUAAUGAUUUCAUGUACACAGUAUUCACUUGUCUCCCUUUAGUAGUGCAUGACAAGUCAUAAAAGACAGACUGCCCAGAAAUGACACUGCAGUAUUCCAGACAUUUUCUCUCUUGGUGGUGACAGUUCCAAAUCAAGCUGGCUCAGUGCUUUUAAGUCAAAGCAUUUGUCGAAGUGGCAGUUUGAAACACAGCCUUAGAUCUGGAGAAUCAAACUAGGCUCUUCUCACCUCUCCCAUCAUUGCUGGUAAUAAAUAUUCAACUGCUGGACCACAGCUAGCAGAUUAUGAUAGAUGACACAGAAUAGAAUCCAACUCUUUCUUUCUUAUCUGUGAAGAACUCCUCUUUUGGUUAGAGAGAUUUCACUACCUUUUAAUAAGCAUAAGUAGGUCAUUUUACAGAAUUUCUUCUGCACUCAUUCAGGAUUUCUUUCCCAAAUUCCCACAAAGAGUAGCAAGGGAAGCUUCAUAGCUGCAUAGAAUAUUAAUAUAAUUUCUGUUCAGAGGAUCAACGUAUCACAUACUCAAAAAUCAAUCCAGGCAAUUAUCAAGGUUUUAACUCUAAAGAAUGUAUUAGAACAUUCUUCAUCAGAAGUUGACCUAUAAUUCUGUAUAGGGCAAUCAGACCAAGAAUUUACUCUCAAUAGACUUGGGGCCAUCAUUUAGAUUAGGUUUGGGGAAUUCAGUGCUACUCCCCACAAACCACCCAUCCCAAAUGAUCUUCCUGCAAAGUCCUACACUCACUGCCUCUACUAUUCACUGGCCAUUUUAUUACUUUUGGCCUUUUAUUGUGGUUAAAUUUUCAUAAUCAUUCUUUUGUUAAACGAACAUAAAUUGGGUCUCUGUUAAACCUUUUUAAGACCUAGAAAAAGCUUCUAAACAGGAGUGAUACUUGAGCUGGCCAUUCUAAGUGCUUCUAUCACAUCCUUAAGAAAUAUUUGAUGCAGAACCUGCCAUGCUAUAUUGUAAUCAUUUUGCUUCAUUGACUGUUUCUCCUCCUUUAUUAUAGGUUCCUUGAAAGCAGAUACCAGACAUAUUUAUCUUCCCAUACCAGUGUCUAAACACUGUGCCUGGUUCAUAGCACAGGGUCAAUACAUGUUUUAACGAGUAGAUUAAACUUGGCCCAUUGGAGGGGAGAGAGUGAUUACAAGGACAAAUAAGAUUUAGUUUUAUCCCUUAAGGUCUUUCUAAGUUAGCACAUGGCUAGGUACAGAGUAGAUGCUCAGUAAGUGCUGGUUGGUUAGUCAAUUCUCAGUUAUUUUUCUUCAGAUGGAAAGACAAGACUACCAAAAUGAAUAUAUACCAGCAAAGCCAGUUACUGUUUUAUUUUGAAAUAUCAACACCUUUCCUUGCUUCACUCAGGACCCCAAGUACUAAUGAACAAGAAAGAAACAAAGCAUAGGGGUUGUUUAUCAUACCAAACACAAUAUCUGAAGCCAAAACUGAGACACAUAGUCUUGCACCAGUAGAGGAUUUUUUUUUUUUUC